RNAcentral lists this long non-coding RNA (1342 nucleotides) under Chinchilla lanigera (long-tailed chinchilla). Its description in RNAcentral is "lncRNA (ENSCLAG00000029007.1)". The record is from RNAcentral. Lineage: Eukaryota; Metazoa; Chordata; Mammalia; Rodentia; Chinchillidae.
GGGAAGAUCACAGAAUGGCUAAGGUCUGUGGACUCUGGUGGGGACCGGUGCUGCCCAUCCUGAACUGGACUAUGGAGCCUAGUGAAACAUAAGCCACACAGUGACAUCUGGGCAGUCCACAUACACUGAGGACAUCAGGAGGAAACUGAAUGAGAGGCUGCACCUGGUGGCAUCUUGGAGCUGCAGAACCUUCACGUUAGCCACUACCUCAUAUUUCAUAGGGUACAGGGGAAGCGGGGGCCGUACCGCAGGCCUGCACCCCAUAGCUGACACAGGGCGAGUCUGGGCUUGGAGCCUCCGCGAGCUCAGAAUGUUGGACCUGAGUGUUCCCUGCUCCCUCUGAGAUGACAGGUGAGCCUGUGCCAGGAAGAUCUGAGCUUCUGCACCUCUGUCUUCAUGAGCAGAAAAUCACCUUGGCCUGGGAGAUGACCAGAUCCACUGUGUGCAGGAGAAAACUUCAGUCUCAAAGAGGUCAAGCUGUCUCCCGAGACUUACAGGAAAUAACCAAGAUUCUCACUCAACUCUGGGAUGUAUCCUCCACUUACCUGUCUGUGUUAUAUCCCACCUCCCAGCCCUGUGGACAGGAAAAGACAAGGGCUGAGGAUGCUGGGGAGAAAAAGGUCCUGGAGCCAAGCAGCAGGAGAAACCAGAGCAGCAAAGGGAAGUUCUUGCGUGGCAGCAGAGGUAGUGACCACAGUGGCAGGAUGGGGAAUCCGUGGCCCCAUUCUGUCAUUGAACAGCUCUGUGGGGUCACAGUGCAGCACCUAGUGGACAUUCACAAGUACUAUCUGAAGGAGCAAAACAGACUCUUAAAUAAUGUGACUCAUUAUUAUUCACAGAAUCACAUGAUGUCAAGAGAGACAGGAUGUCCGAUGUCCCAGACACAUCUGGUGGGGGAGCCAGCGAUCAGGGAGUGACCCCUGGCCCAUGGGCUUAGGAUGACUCAUGUGCCAACUCCCUUUGAUGACGUGACCAAUGGGUCCUCCUACAUCUCCCCAUGGGCAGUUAGAGCCACAGCAGAUGAGCCACCAACCAGCUAUGAACCUGGUGACUUCAUAGCUGAAUGUGCUGUUAGGAGGUGCGCUCUGGUCACUGGGGGCAUGGCUGGGAAGGUUGUAUUUUGUCCCUAGCUCCUUCCUCUCUCUCUGCUUCCUGGCUGCAUGAGCGGAGCAGCUGUCUUCUGCCAUGCCUUUCCGCUAGGCUGUUUUUGCCUUGGGGUUAACCCACAUGGACUAACUCUUGGAAAUUAUGAGCCAAAAUAAACUUUUUUUCCUUAAAUUGGGAGUGUGAGAUAUUUUGUCUUAGUGACAGGAAAGUGACUAAUAUAGGAGGAUCACAGACA